AUGAAAAAAAAAAUGACAACACAAACAUUAAAUGUUAAUAAUAAUUGUCUGAAUGAUAAAGUUAUAUACGAAGCACCUAUACUUUAUACAGGUUGUGUCACCAGUGGUACUGCAGAAAAUACUGAUUGUAGUUAUAGCGUUAAUAGUAAUAAUGCGAGUGAAAACAAUAUACAUCAAGACAUGAGUGAGGAAGAAAAUAUUGAAAAUUCUUUACUCGAAGGUGAAGAAAUAAAAAAUGGAACAUUAUCUACCUCGGAUGUACUAUACGAUAAAAAUAGUACAAAUAGUGCUACUGAUAAUAUAUUUAACAGUUUUACUAGUAAUAAUGAUAUUAACGAUAAUAAUGAUAAUUAUAAUGGAAAAGAUGAAAGUGAGAAAAAUAGUUAUGAACAACAAUUAUUUUUAUCAUCAGUCGAUAGCAGUGAUAAAAAUAGUACUAUAUCUUCAAAGAAAGAAUAUACAGAAAUAAUACAAAAUAUAAUAAAUUUUAAUAAAAAUAAAUUCGAAUUAAAUUUAAGUAGAGGGGAAUUAUAUUUAACUGAAGAAGAAUAUAUUUUUAUAUCAUCUUUUUUAAAUUCUAGUAAAUUUAGAUUUUAUUCAAUUGAAAAUAUGAUAAAAAAAAAAAAAAAAAAAAGAGAUAUAUAUAAUAAUAUUAUUAUGGAUGAGUCAUAUUUAUCAAAUUAUAAAAGAUCUAAAAGUGACAUUACAUUUUAUGCACAUAAUAAUAUAUAUAAUAAUAAGUAUGGUAUUUAUAAUGAUAAACAUGGGUAUCCGAGUGAUAAAACUAGUACUUAUAGUGAUAUAAAUUGUAGUAUGAAUGAAAUAAUGGAAGAAUAUAACCACAACAACAAUAACGACAACAACAACAACAACAACGAUAAUAAUAAUAAACUAUUAAAAUAUAAUACGUCAUCAGUAAUAUUAGAAAAUAUAAAUAAUACAUCAGUAAAUAAAUUACAGGAAGGAAAUAGCAACUGUAUGGAUGAAAUGACAGAUAAUGUCAAUACUACCACUGCUACUACUACUACUACUACUACUACUACUACUGCUAAUAAUAAUAAUAAUAAAAGUGGUUUAACAUGUGGUACUACUGAUAGUAGUAGUUGUAGUAGUAAAACCAAAAAGCAAUUAGAUAAUGAAAAAGAACUUAGUGCAGAAGAAAAAGAACAAAUAGAAUUAUGCGAAGAAGUAAUUAUACAAUUAAAAUAA
Molecule: long non-coding RNA, 1209 nt
Filed under: Piliocolobus tephrosceles (Ugandan red Colobus)
Lineage: Eukaryota; Metazoa; Chordata; Mammalia; Primates; Cercopithecidae
Description: lncRNA (ENSPTEG00000021581.1)
Source: RNAcentral